GGCAGCAACUCGCGACNCUAGCAAAUCCCUAAACCGUGGCUCAGUUCAGAUCGUAGGCUGCAACUCGCCUACGUGAAGGAGGAAUCGCUAGUAAUCGCAGGUCAGCAUACUGCGGUGAAUACGUUCCCGGGCCUUGUACACACCGCCCGUCACACCAUGGAAGUUGGCCACGCCCGAAGCCGUUACUCCAACCCUUGUGGAGGAGGACGUCGAAGGUGGGGCUGAUGACUGGGGUGAAGUCGUAACAAGGUAGCCGUACCGGAAGGUGCGGCUGGAUCACCUCCUAA
Molecule: ribosomal RNA, 287 nt
Filed under: Synechococcus sp. WH 8101
Lineage: Bacteria; Bacillati; Cyanobacteriota; Cyanophyceae; Synechococcales; Synechococcaceae
Description: partial 16S ribosomal RNA
Rfam family: Bacterial small subunit ribosomal RNA
Source: RNAcentral